Molecule: ribosomal RNA, 479 nt
Filed under: uncultured bacterium
Lineage: Bacteria
Description: bacterial SSU rRNA
Rfam family: Bacterial small subunit ribosomal RNA
Source: RNAcentral
UUUCGCAAUGCCCGAAAGGGUGACGAAGCGACGCCGCGUGGGUGAGGAAGGCCCUCGGGUUGUAAAGCCCUGUCAGGAGUUAAGAAAUGUAGACUCGCUAAUAUCGGGUCUAUUUGACAAAGGCUCCAAAGGAAGCCACGGCUAACUCUGUGCCAGCAGCCGCGGUAAUACAGAGGUGGCAAGCGUUGUUCGGAAUUAUUGGGCGUAAAGAGCACGUAGGUGGAUUUGUAAGUCAGAUGUGAAAGCCUUCUGUUCAACGGGAAAAUUGCAUCUGAAACUACAGACCUUGAGUAUAGGAGGGGAGAAUGGAACUUCUGGUGGAGCGGUGAAAUGCGUAGAUAUCAGAAGGAACGCCGGCGGCGAAAGCGAUUCUCUGGCCUAUUACUGACACUCAGUGUGCGAAAGCUAGGGGAGCAAACGGGAUUAGAUACCCCGGUAGUCCUAGCCGUAAACGAUGGGCACUAAGUAGAGGGGUUUUA